Non-coding RNA from Salvelinus sp. IW2-2015, 706 nucleotides. The record is from RefSeq and is a predicted model, not a curated record. Lineage: Eukaryota; Metazoa; Chordata; Actinopteri; Salmoniformes; Salmonidae.
CGAUAUAUCUUCAUUCCGUCCAACGAACGUAUGUGAUGAUGUCAGAUGCUAUCCAGGGUCUCACUGUCACCUCCGGUCAUGACAAGGGGGACUGGCCCUCUCGAUACUUUGGAUUUAAGGCACCAGUUAAGCACUUUUAAAUGCUUCAUCCAGAUUUUAUUACAUAUGUAACGCAAAGGUAAGGGGACUCGUAUUGCCWGGUCAAAUUGAGACUUUUAGAUCCUUAUUGGCUGCUAUUGUCACUAAUGACUGUUGACUGUCAAUGCUGCACAGGUUUUUGAAGUCUCCCCUGCUGAAGUACAGUCAGCUCUACAUGUUCAGCACUGGUGCUCUGAUGCUUCUGACCGCCCUGCACAUGUGUGACCAGGUGUCUGCCUAUGGUUUCAUCACAAAAAACUUUGCAGACUUCUCUGACCACUACUGUGAUGCUGCCCCUGCGCUUCUAUGCCAACCAAGACAUGCAGAUGGAGAGCUGGCUGUGGGAGGUACUGCAUGCACGAAAAGUAAUGUCACUGUACAAGAGAACAAAAGUAAAAUGAUGGACACUCAAUUGUAUUUUCAUGUGAAAAGCCUUCCUUGAAAUGCUGUUAACUCCUAUGUUUGCCAUGGAGGUAGUCCCUCRGAAGGAGCGGCUGCUGGAGUUGUGUGGCGUCCUUUGUUAUUAGUCUCACAGCAACAUUAAAGGCCUUUGACGGUGMAAAGCCAA